Molecule: small nuclear RNA, 193 nt
Filed under: Jaapia argillacea MUCL 33604
Lineage: Eukaryota; Fungi; Basidiomycota; Agaricomycetes; Jaapiales; Jaapiaceae
Description: U2 spliceosomal RNA
Rfam family: U2 spliceosomal RNA
About the family: U2 is a small nuclear RNA (snRNA) component of the spliceosome (involved in pre-mRNA splicing). Complementary binding between U2 snRNA (in an area lying towards the 5' end but 3' to hairpin I) and the branchpoint sequence (BPS) of the intron results the bulging out of an unpaired adenosine, on the BPS, which initiates a nucleophilic attack at the intronic 5' splice site, thus starting the first of two transesterification reactions that mediate splicing.
Source: Rfam by way of RNAcentral
UCACCACUCUGGCCUUUUGGCUUAGAUCAAGUGUAGUAUCUGUUCUUAAUAGUUUAACCACUAUUAUGAGGGCACAGCCCUCAUUCUUGGUUAUCUAAUUUUUGCCGCCCUUGUCUCUCUCCGAGCUCUGCUUGCAACUCGAGGGGUGUAAUGACCUUGCUAUUGCACUAUUGGCUUGUGUCGUUGGGGGAUC